UGGCUCAGUGGUAGAGCGCUUGCCUUGCAUGCAUGACGCCCUGGGUUCGAUUCCUCAG
This is a non-coding RNA of Dipodomys ordii (Ord's kangaroo rat), 58 nucleotides long. NCBI's taxonomy places the organism in Eukaryota, Metazoa, Chordata, Mammalia, Rodentia, Heteromyidae. The record is from Rfam.